This 494-nucleotide long non-coding RNA is filed under the name Mytilus galloprovincialis (Mediterranean mussel). The record is from RNAcentral. Lineage: Eukaryota; Metazoa; Mollusca; Bivalvia; Mytilida; Mytilidae.
AUAUAAAAAAGAAGAUGUGGUAUGAUUGCCAAUGAGACAACUAUCCACAAAAGACCAAAAUGACACAGACAAUAACAACUAUAGGUCACCGUACGGCCUUCAACAAUGAGCAAAGCCCAUACUGCAUAGUGAGCUAUAAAAGGCCCCAAUAAGACAAUGUAAAACAAUUCAAACGAGAAAACUAACGGCCUUAUUUAUGUAAAAAAAUGAACGAAAAACAAAUAUGUAACACAUAAACAAACGACAACCACUGAAUUACAGGCUCCUGACUUGGGACAGGCACAUACAUAAAUAAUGUGGCGGGGUUAAACAUGUUAGCGGGAUCCCAACCCUCCCCCUAACCUGGGACAGUGGUUUAACAGUACAACAUAAGAACGAACUAUAAAAAUCAGUUGAAAAAGGCUUAACUCAUCAGAUGGACAAAAAAUACAAGUGGACGUGGCCCGGUACUUAUACAUCCCGACACAAAAAGACACAAUGAACAGAUCUGAGAG